UUCGGCUCUUCGUAGCUCGCUGAGUCACCAGUCGGCCUGCCUUGUUCAGCUUCCUCCGUCUGGAGCCCCGCCUUUCUCCUAGUCGCUUUCCCGACUCUCCGUCGCUCCGGCUCCCCGUCGCACACCGUUUGCAGCCCCGCCUUUCUCUGCGUGUCGCUGCUUUCUCCAGAAGCUCAGUUUUUUGCCUCGUCACCUCGGCCCCUCGUUAUCGUCUUAAAGGGCCAUUAAAGAUUGCUUCAAUGGGUCUUUGUUGUGUCCAUCAACUAACAGCUGUAUUCCAGUUUCCCAGCGCUGCAAUGGUAUUGUAGACUGCACUGAUUUCUUCCUUGAUGAAUCUAGCUGUUCAGCCUGUCCAGAGUCGUAUUGCAAAAAUGGAGGAACAUGCAACAAAGAAGCUUUUCCCCUCUGCAGAUGUGAGAAAGAAUGGCAAGGAAACCGUUGCCACAUAAAAGUUAGGCCUCCUUUGACUCUGUCUUCUGGUUCCUUAAAAAAUGAUAUUUGGACUGGGCUGAGUGUUGGAUUAGCUUUGCUGUUGAUUGAAAUUGCGGUCGCUGUUUCGUGCAUCCUUUCAAAGAGGAAAUUGCCAAGAACGAAACCUGAGGAGUUCUUGAACACCGCCUUUGCAAACCCCUUGUAUGAGGCUCACGGUGUUAAGUCUACAGAGUAUGCUGCCUCACUGGGAGUUCAGAUCAGUGUUUCUCCAUGGCAGGCACAGCAGGGGCUUUUCCACAAUAAUGACAUAAUGCCUGCUUCCUUUGCCAAUCCUCUGUAUGGCACAUCUACCGAAAAAUGGGGAGAUGCUGUGAAAUGUCAAUGAAUACGGACACAAAAUAGGACAGAGACUUCAUGAAGUUUUAUCUGACAAGAUAUCUUUUUCUUCUGUUUCAGAUGAUAAAUAGCAUUAGCAAAAUGAAUGAAAAUGGAAUGAUUGCCAUAUUAGAAUAAUUAUGUUCUCCAAAUAACGCUUCAUUCAAAAUAGCAUCCACCCACAAGAGAAAAUGCAGUCUUACAUGAUAUUUAUGUUGGCAAGCAACAGUCUUGGGUAAUUUACUUUUGAAUU
Long non-coding RNA from Gekko japonicus, 1060 nucleotides. RefSeq lists it as uncharacterized. The record is from RefSeq and is a predicted model, not a curated record. NCBI's taxonomy places the organism in Eukaryota, Metazoa, Chordata, Lepidosauria, Squamata, Gekkonidae. The transcript is spliced from 8 exons.